UCGGGCACGUUUCGGCUGCUCCGCCGCCUCCUGGCUUUGAAUUUCGCGUAAAUUGCCGUGAGGCAAAAAAACAAGAAGAUAAGAAAAGCGGUGCGACCUCAUGGGUCGGAUCAAGGACCACCCCGUACACUUCGAGCCUGUUGCAGCCUCCGACGCCAAGUAGACGGGAUCGCACGGAGACACGAGGCGCUUUCUUUAAGAGAAUUAACAAAAAAAAACCUUCAAUUUUUUUUUUACGGAGAAGUCCCCCCCCCACUCGCCCCCCUUCCCUCUGUUCCUGCUCUCCUCCGCCUCCAUCCAAGUCGCGGCGUGGAGCGGGUCAGGAGAGCGACCGACGGAGAGGAGCCGCCAACCGGAGGAGUCAGCGCUAAAUACCCACCGAUCUCUAUUUUGAUUCUUUUUUUAAAAUUA
This is a non-coding RNA of Gasterosteus aculeatus aculeatus (three-spined stickleback), 411 nucleotides long. Lineage: Eukaryota; Metazoa; Chordata; Actinopteri; Perciformes; Gasterosteidae. The record is from RefSeq and is a predicted model, not a curated record.